Molecule: ribosomal RNA, 253 nt
Filed under: uncultured bacterium
Lineage: Bacteria
Description: partial 16S ribosomal RNA
Rfam family: Bacterial small subunit ribosomal RNA
Source: RNAcentral
GACGGAAGGUGCAAGCGUUGCUCGGAAUUACUGGGCGUAAAGCGUGCGCAGGCGGUUUUGUAAGUCUGUCGUGAAAGCCCCGGGCUCAACCUGGGAAUUGCGAUGGAGACUGCAAGGCUUGAAUCUGGCAGAGGGGGGUAGAAUUCCACGUGUAGCAGUGAAAUGCGUAGAGAUGUGGAGGAACACCGAUGGCGAAGGCAGCCCCCUGGGUCAAGAUUGACGCUCAUGCACGAAAGCGUGGGGAGCAAACAGG